RNAcentral lists this long non-coding RNA (884 nucleotides) under Pongo abelii (Sumatran orangutan). RNAcentral describes it as "lincRNA". Lineage: Eukaryota; Metazoa; Chordata; Mammalia; Primates; Hominidae. The record is from RNAcentral.
AGAAAAAUUCUAGUUUCUACCUGCUUGGCUGCGGAGGACCUUGGGGUGGGCUCAGCGCGGGGGCUGCAGGCAGAAAUGGGCCCAGAGGGCAAGGUCGAGGUUAGAGCCAAGCCUGUGGGCGGGACUACGGGCAGGGGGCGGGGCCCACUCUUGGGGGUGGGGAGGAAGGUGGGGCCAGGCCCAGAGGAAAAGGUUGAAGUUAUAGCCAGGUCUGUGGGCGGUGCCGCAGCAGAGUUGGCCAUAGGGGAAGGAGCCAAUGUGUUAUGCAUCUAGAAAAUAGACAAAGUCUUACUCUGUCACCAAGGCUGGAGUUCAGUGGAGCCAUCUCAGCUCACUGCAACCUCCGCCUCCCAGGUUCAAGCAAUUCUCCUGCCUCAGCCUCCCAAGUAGCUGGAAUUACAGGCACAUGCCGCCACGCCCCGCUAAUUUUUGUAUUUUUAGUAGAGACAGGGUUUCGCCAUGCUGGCCAGGCUGGUCUUGAACUACUUGUCAGGCCUCUGAGCCCAAGUUAAGCCAUCAUAAACCCUGUCACCUGCACAUAUACAUCCAGAUGGCCUGGAGCAACUGAAGAACCACAAAAGAAGUGAAACAGCCCUUUCCUGCCUUAACUGAUGACGUUCCACCAUUGUGAUUUGUUCCUGCCCAACUCCAACUGAUCUCUUGACCUUGUGACAUUCUUCUUCUGGACAAGUCUCAGGAGUUCCCCACCGAGCACCUUGUGACCCCUGCCCCUGCCAGCAAAAGAUAACCACCUUUAACUGUAACUUUCCACUACCUACCGAAAUCCUAUAAAACUGCUGCACCCCAUCUCCUUUUGCUGACCCCUGUCUUGGACUCAGCCCACUUGCACCCAAGUGAGUAAACAGCCUUGUUGCUAACACAAA